GGUCCCUUCGUCUAUCGGUUAGGACACUGGGUUUUCAUCCCAGCAAGAGGAGUUCGACUCUCCUAGGGAUCACCA
This 75-nucleotide transfer RNA is filed under the name Candidatus Saccharimonadota bacterium. RNAcentral describes it as "tRNA-Glu". It matches the Rfam family "tRNA". From Rfam's summary of the family: Transfer RNA (tRNA) molecules are approximately 80 nucleotides in length. Their secondary structure includes four short double-helical elements and three loops (D, anti-codon, and T loops). Lineage: Bacteria; Candidatus Saccharimonadota. The record is from RNAcentral.